RNAcentral lists this microRNA precursor (135 nucleotides) under Marmota monax (woodchuck). The record is from RNAcentral. Lineage: Eukaryota; Metazoa; Chordata; Mammalia; Rodentia; Sciuridae.
GUGUGCAAUCUCUCUCUCUCUCUCUCCCUUUCUCCCACCUCUCUCUCUCUAUAUAUAUAUGUAUAUAUAUAUAUAUAUAUAUAUAUAUAUAGAGAGAGAGAGAGAGAGAGAGAGAGAUAUAGAUAGAUAUAUAUA